GCUGGUUCUCGGCUGACUACUACACUUUGUUCAUAGACAGCCGGUGUGAGUCGAUCUAUUGUAGAAUCUGAUUAGUCGACCAAUCAAAUUACGUGUAACAGUAACAGUACACAUGGAGUUUUAUUUAAUGCUACAAUCCAAGAAAUGUUAUCGCAAAUGAAAAGGAAUCAUCUAUUUUCCUUCCAAUAAUCCAAUGGAACAUUUUUU
Molecule: long non-coding RNA, 207 nt
Filed under: Mytilus galloprovincialis (Mediterranean mussel)
Lineage: Eukaryota; Metazoa; Mollusca; Bivalvia; Mytilida; Mytilidae
Source: RNAcentral